RNAcentral lists this non-coding RNA (30 nucleotides) under Homo sapiens (human). Lineage: Eukaryota; Metazoa; Chordata; Mammalia; Primates; Hominidae. The record is from RNAcentral.
UCGUGUUCUGACGGCAGGCUAGUCUGCAUC